RNAcentral lists this ribosomal RNA (508 nucleotides) under uncultured bacterium. RNAcentral describes it as "partial 16S ribosomal RNA". It matches the Rfam family "Bacterial small subunit ribosomal RNA", at positions 28 to 507 of the family's 1533-position model. The record is from RNAcentral.
GACGAACGCUGGCGGCGUGCCUAAUACAUGCAAGUCGAGCGCUUCUUCCCUCCCAAGUGCUUGCACUCGAUUGGGAAGGGGAGUGGCGGACGGGUGAGUAACACGUCGGUAACCUACCCAUCAGUGGGGGAUAACACUUGGAAACAGGUGCUAAUACCGCCUAACAGUUUAUGCCGCAUGGCAUAAGAGUGAAAGGGGCUUUCGGGUGUGGCUGCGGGUUGGAUCGGCGGUGCAUUAGCUAGUUGGCGAGGUAACGGCUCACCAAGGCCACGAUGCGUAGCCGACCUGAGAGGGUGAUCGGCCACACUGGAACUGAGACACGGCCCAGACUCCUACGGGAGGCAGCAGUAGGGAAUCUUAGGCAAUGGGCGAAAGUCUGACCGAGCAACGCCGCGUGAGUGAAGAAGGUUUUCGGAUCGUAAAACUCUGUUGUUAGGGAAGAACAAGGGCGUUAGUAACUGAACGUCUCCUGACGGUAUCUAACCAGAAAGCCACGGCUAACUACGUG